GACGAACGCUGGCGGCGUGCUUAACACAUGCAAGUCGAACGGAAAGGCCCUGCUCUUGUGGGGUGCUCGUGUGGCGAACGGGUGAGUAACACGCGAGUAUCCCGCCCUUGACUUUGGGAUAACUUCAGGAAACUGGGGCUAAUAUCCGAUAGAAGCUCCUGCUGCAUGGUGGGGGUUGGAAAGUUUCGGCGGUUGGGGAUGGACUCGCGGCUUAUCCGCUUGUUGGUGGGGUUGUGGCUUACCAAGGCUUUGACGGGUAGCCGGCCUGAGAGGGUGACCGGCCACAUGGGGACUGAGAUACGGCCCAGACUCGUACGGGAGGCAGCAGGGGGGAAUAUUGCACAAUGGGCGGAAGCCUGAUGCAGCAACGCCGCGUGCGGGAUGACGGCCUUCGGGUUGUGAACCGCUUUCGCCUGUGACGAAGCGUGAGUGACGGUAAUGGGUAAAGAAGCACCGGCUAACUACGUG
This 468-nucleotide ribosomal RNA is filed under the name uncultured bacterium. RNAcentral's name for it is "partial 16S ribosomal RNA". It matches the Rfam family "Bacterial small subunit ribosomal RNA", at positions 28 to 507 of the family's 1533-position model. The record is from RNAcentral.